Long non-coding RNA from Orcinus orca (killer whale), 1235 nucleotides. RefSeq lists it as uncharacterized. The record is from RefSeq and is a predicted model, not a curated record. The transcript has 2 exons. NCBI's taxonomy places the organism in Eukaryota, Metazoa, Chordata, Mammalia, Artiodactyla, Delphinidae.
UGCAGCUCUCCUUAGCAAUCGGGCCAGCCACACAGCGGCCCCGAGGGCCCGCAUGCAGACCUGCUGCCUGAGUCCACACCUUGGAUCAAGUGGGCACCAAACCCCUUCUGUAAGGAGAGCCUUUGCCUGCCCCCCCUCCUGCCUGCAACUGCAGGGACAUCUGUCUCCCCUGCCCUCGCAUUCCCAGCGCUUGGCAAGGGGCCUGGUCUAUGCUCAGCCUUUGUUCAAAGCAUGAAGAAGGAAGGAACAAAGGCUCUGACGGUCCUGUGAAGAGCCCCUGCCCCAGUACCCACAGGCCUCGGCACCGACUCCCUCAUUCCCCCUUCUAUGGUACCUGGGAUGGAUCUCCAUAGGACAGGCUUUGCAUCGUCUGAUGACUAAGAAAGCUUCUGGAAGUCAGCGCCUGGGCCUUGUAUCUCUAUCCCCCAGGCCAGCUCAGUGUCCAUCACAUAGUGGGUACUCAGUAACUGAAAGGAACCAAGAUUUAUGAGACACUCUUAGCAUCCUUGAAUCUGGCCAGCCAGCCUGCCUUUCUGCGUGACUGUCACUCCCUACUGGAGCCUGUGCCCCAGCCGAGCUGCAUUCCUGGAAGCUUCCAGAAAUUGCACAAAGUAGGUGCCUGCUGCAGAAGCAAAGCACAGUCCCUUCUAGGUGGCCCAGGUACAGUCCCUUCUAGGCCACCUGCUCCGGCGCAGAGACACCCCCAGACACAUGGCUCGUAGCACAAGGUUGUCUUUAUUGUGAUGCUCAGUGGAAAACAUCUGUAAACCAGCUCACUGUAGUGGUGGCGGCUGCAACCAUGCUAAGGCACUUCCAUUAUAUAAAAAAAGGGCAGGGGUGGGAGUUCUGUUCACUCCUUUGUGACAGCAACUGGGACCUGAAUUCAGAGCUUUUUAGGCAUAUGUAGCUUUUAUAUAUCUUCAUGAUUUCUUGAGAGUUUGUUUCCUUAAAAAAAAAAAAUGCCUUUUUUGCCAUAAGUAAGUCUAAAUGCAGCAUAUACAGAACAGUUAGGAAUACGGGGAUCAGCCACCAGUGUAGACCAGUGUAGGACAAGCUACUCUCUUCUAGACGUGGUUCCAAAGGAAAGGCAGUGAUAAAGACUUGGAAUUUUACCAUUUAUUACAGUUAGAGGGAGAAAAGACAACUGUUUUUUUCUUUUAAAAAUAUCUGUGCAGAUGGCAGAGUCUUGAAUUAUACUGAGUCAACGGUGCAGGUCAGCUACCCUCGGGCCCCAG